This 301-nucleotide long non-coding RNA is filed under the name Physcomitrium patens. RNAcentral describes it as "long non-coding RNA (PPAT_LNC003395)". The record is from RNAcentral. Lineage: Eukaryota; Viridiplantae; Streptophyta; Bryopsida; Funariales; Funariaceae.
UUAUAAUUCAAGGCAGUAUUGAUUUUGUAAAGAAAAAUGAAAGAUUAUGAGUGAUAAUCAUGAAGAGGAGGAUUAUCAAAGAAUUAAUCAAUAAGCGAAAGAAAGACAUGAGCAAUUAUGCAUAAGAAAUCUCCUACGGUGUCGUGUUGUAACAUGAGUAUACCGUGAAAAUAUAAAGAAAGAGGACUUUUGUUAAUGAUUCAGUUACCUCAAAUAUUGGGAGCAACGACCAAUUCCAGUGCAAAUACUGAGAGGCCAGGAUCAGUCACCCCGUUACAGUCAGUCGAGGCAUACUAAAAUG